GUCUCCGUAGAUCAACGGUGAUCACCUUGCACGUAUAAUACUGAGUAGUGCUCACCGUGACGAGGGAUGCGAGUUCGACUCUCGCCGGAGGCC
This is a non-coding RNA of Mycena alexandri, 93 nucleotides long. Lineage: Eukaryota; Fungi; Basidiomycota; Agaricomycetes; Agaricales; Mycenaceae. The record is from the annotation of a GenBank genome assembly.